AUUGAACGCUGGCGGCAUGCUUUACACAUGCAAGUCGAACGGCAGCGCGGGGCAACCUGGCGGCGAGUGGCGCACGGGUGAGUAAUAUAUCGGAACGUACCCAGAAGUGGGGGCUAACGUAGCGAAAGUUACGCUAAUACCGCAUACGAUCUACGGAUGAAAGUCGGGGACCGCAAGGCCUUAUGCUUUUGGAGCGGCCGAUAUCUGAUUAGCUAGUUGGUGAGGUAAAGGCUCACCAAGGCGACGAUCAGUAGCUGGUCUGAGAGGACGACCAGCCACACUGGAACUGAGACACGGUCCAGACUCCUACGGGAGGCAGCAGUGGGGAAUUUUGGACAAUGGGCGCAAGCCUGAUCCAGCAAUGCCGCGUGAGUGAAGAAGGCCUUCGGGUUGUAAAGCUCUUUUGUCAGGGAAGAAACGGUAGAGGCUAAUAUCCUUUGCUAAUGACGGUACCUGAAGAAUAAGCACCGGCUAACUACGUG
This 482-nucleotide ribosomal RNA is filed under the name uncultured bacterium. Its description in RNAcentral is "partial 16S ribosomal RNA". It matches the Rfam family "Bacterial small subunit ribosomal RNA", at positions 30 to 507 of the family's 1533-position model. The record is from RNAcentral.